Molecule: long non-coding RNA, 1046 nt
Filed under: Marmota monax (woodchuck)
Lineage: Eukaryota; Metazoa; Chordata; Mammalia; Rodentia; Sciuridae
Source: RNAcentral
UAACAGUAGCAUGCACUACAGUACAUCAUACAUAAAUGGAGUAUAAUUUCUCAUUCUUCUGGUACAUGAUGUAGAAUCCCACCAGUCAUAAAGUCAUAUAUGUAAAUAAGGUAAUGAUGUUUGAUUCAUUCUACUAUCCUUUCUGCCCCCUUACCUGCUCCCCUCCCUUCACUCCCCUCUACCUAAUCUAAAGUAACAAUAAUGUGCUUAUUGUAAGUUAGCAUAGCAAUUCGAUAUUAAUCUACAGCUUCAUUAGCAUUACCUCAAUCCUAAACUAUUCUAUAGUCUCUCCUGCUCCUAAACUUUCUAAUAACUACUCUUUCUACUGUAAUGUUAUACCUUAUCCUUCUUAUAAGUAACUCUAUUCAUCCUUCAACUGAAUCAGUUAAGUAUCUCUCAAAUAAGCUUAGAUCAUACUACUAUAUGUACCCAAAACAUUGCCUUUCCCUUAAAACUUUGCCACAAUCACAAUUAAUUGCACAAGUAUUUGUCUAAUUUCUGCUCUCCUUCUUUGCAUCUUAAGAUUUGCAUUGCUGUGACCAAAAUACCCAAAAAGUGCAAGUUAGAGGAUGAAAAGUUUACUUAGGCUUAGGGGUUUGGAGGUUUAGUCCAUGGUCAGCCAAGUCCAUUGUUCUGAGACAAAACAGAAGGGCAUGGCAGAGGGAAAUUGCUUAAUUUAAAGUGACCAGGAACAAGGGGGGAGUGGGAAGAAGAGAAGAGAUGGAACUGCAGGGAAAAUAAACCCUUCUAUGGCCCACACCUUGUCAUCUACCUCCUCUAGCUAUGUCCCACUUGCUUACCACCCAGCCAGUCGAGCCAUUUAAACCAGAUGGGCUUGUUAGAUUAUAUCUCUCGUAAUCUAAUUAUCACACCUCUGAACAUUUGUGAGUUAACCCAGGAAUUUUGGGGAUACACCUCAUAUGCAAAUUAUUACAUUCUAGGAGUUUAAUUUACAUGAAGGCAAAGGUGUUUUUAUUCUAGCACGCUGAAGAAAUUUAUUUAAGAUAUACACCUCACUAGUUGAAUAAUUGAGUGAAAAAAUAAAA